RNAcentral lists this ribosomal RNA (460 nucleotides) under uncultured bacterium. RNAcentral's name for it is "partial 16S ribosomal RNA". It matches the Rfam family "Bacterial small subunit ribosomal RNA", at positions 338 to 795 of the family's 1533-position model. The record is from RNAcentral.
CCUACGGGACGCAGCAGUGAGGAAUAUUGGUCAAUGGACGAGAGUCUGAACCAGCCACGUAGCGUGAAGGAUGACUGCCCUAUGGGUUGUAAACUUCUUUUAUAAAGGAAUAAAACGAGGCAAGUGUGCCUUUUUGCAUGUACUUUAUGAAUAAGGAUCGGCUAACUCCGUGCCAGCAGCCGCGGUAAUACGGAGGAUCCGAGCGUUAUCCGGAUUUAUUGGGUUUAAAGGGAGCGUAGAUGGGUUGUUAAGUCAGUUGUGAAAGUUUGCGUCUCAACCGUAAAAUUGCAAUUGAAACUGGCAGUCUCGAGUACAGUUGAGGUAGGCGGAAUUCGUGGUGUAGCGGUGAAAUGCUUAGAUAUCACGAAGAACCCCGAUUGCGGAGGCAGCUUACUAAACUGUGACUGACAUUGAUGCUCGAAAGUGUGGGUAUCAAACAGGAUUAGAUACCCUAGUAGUC